AGUGAACGCUGGCGGUAGGCCUAACACAUGCAAGUCGAACGGCAGCACAGUAAGAGCUUGCUCUUACGGGUGGCGAGUGGCGGACGGGUGAGGAAUACAUCGGAAUCUACUUUUUCGUGGGGGAUAACGUAGGGAAACUUACGCUAAUACCGCAUACGACCUACGGGUGAAAGCAGGGGAUCUUCGGACCUUGCGCGAUUGAAUGAGCCGAUGUCGGAUUAGCUAGUUGGCGGGGUAAAGGCCCACCAAGGCGACGAUCCGUAGCUGGUCUGAGAGGAUGAUCAGCCACACUGGAACUGAGACACGGUCCAGACUACUACGGGAGGCAGCAGUGGGGAAUAUUGGACAAUGGGCGCAAGCCUGAUCCAGCCAUACCGCGUGGGUGAAGAAGGCCUUCGGGUUGUAAAGCCCUUUUGUUGGGAAAGAAAAGCAGCAGGUUAAUACCCCGCUGUUCUGACGGUACCCAAAGAAUAAGCACCGGCUAACUUCG
Molecule: ribosomal RNA, 490 nt
Filed under: uncultured bacterium
Lineage: Bacteria
Description: partial 16S ribosomal RNA
Rfam family: Bacterial small subunit ribosomal RNA
Source: RNAcentral